RNAcentral lists this long non-coding RNA (1334 nucleotides) under Gopherus agassizii (Agassiz's desert tortoise). RNAcentral's name for it is "lncRNA (ENSGAGG00000015967.1)". The record is from RNAcentral. Lineage: Eukaryota; Metazoa; Chordata; Testudines; Testudinidae.
GAGGAAGACUAGCAGGGGGAAGGAUGAGCGUCUGGCUUUCUACAGACAAAGAGGUUUCUUGCUUCUUUGGCCAGGAUCCUCUUCCACUAUGUGGCUUUGUGUGGAGUUGGUAGAGGAGCAGAUCUCAGGUUUUCUGGAUAAAGGAUCUGGUGAUAAGUGGCUGACAGUCUUACUCCACUGCUUCUCUUCCUGUAAAGCUCAACGUAAUUGUGGUUCAUGCUAUUAUAAUACUGGUAUCCUGUUUACCUGUGGGUGGCAGGUGCUCCUGUCCACCCAAGGGGGGACUUUCCCUUCCCUACUUUUCCAAGAAGUGACACCAGUGACUCAUAAAUAGUUAACCUGUGUGCUGGUCAUAGGAUUUUUACUGAGCUUUUCAGUUGGGAAUGUCAUCACCUCUCAUUAUAAUGUCCACUCUUCCUUCUGCCUUCACUGGCACAUGUAUACACAUACGGGGGCUGUCAGGUAGUGGGAUAGAACACCCUUCUCCAAGAUGCUGCUGUUCUUUUCCACUUCUAAAGCUGACACCUCUGGCUUGCACCCUGCCUUUUCCAGGUUGAAGUAGACAGAAACUGGCUGUGUUCUGUUUCAAAGUGAUGCUACUGUUUAUUCAUUUUGCCAUUGUCUUAAAGGUCCUAUAUUUAGCGUGAGAGCGCUUAUUGGGAAAAAUAUUUAUUUUUUUAGCUAUCGUAACACCAUUUCCAGAUUUUUUUAAUCUUUCUGUUUUAAACAAAAAACACACCUGGUACUUGAAGCUUCUGUUUGCACCAUAUUACUGCAUAGUCUUGGCUGGGAUUGAAUGUCACCUGGAACUCAGAUACGAGGCACAGAUGAGGCUGUCCAACACAGCACAAUCAGACAAUCUUCUGGAACACAAACCAGCAUGGGAAGUGGAAUGCAAUGGGAAGCCUUCAUUGUGUAGACAGAGGGGCACCCACUUUCCAAAUCAAGGAUGUUACCUGCCCAGUUUGAACUUGUCUGGGGGGAAAGCUUCCAGUUCGUGUAGUAGCUACUUUGAAAACUGAUAAUUUACAUAUUCAAGGACAAAUGUUAACUGCACCUGCUGACAUUUGCUAUGUAAGAGAGUGCUGGCUUCUCUGAUCCUUUAAUUAAACUCUUAUAUGCUUUUGCUUCAGGAAGGACUUCUAAUGGUUGUGAAGCUAGCCCCUAUUUGUCAUACCUUUUAGUUUGAACCAGGUGAGUUUGCUUUUAAACUGCUGUAUACGUCUCAGGACUAGCUUCAGGUCAUGAGUGUGUACCUAAGUAAUGAUGGAACUGUGUAGUUUUUACACCGAGUGCUUUUUUUAGUAAUGAUGGUGAGUAGCAUUGCUGUUAAC